ACGUAGGGUGCGAGCGUUAAUCGGAAUUACUGGGCGUAAAGGGCGCGUAGGCGGCCUGUUAAGUCGGACGUGAAAUCCCUCGGCUCAACCGGGGAACUGCGUCCGAUACUGGCGGGCUUGAAUUCGGGAGAGGGAUGUGGAAUUCCAGGUGUAGCGGUGAAAUGCGUAGAUAUCUGGAGGAACACCGGUGGCGAAGGCGGCAUCCUGGACCGACAUUGACGCUGAGGCGCGAAAGCCAGGGGAGCAAACGGGA
RNAcentral lists this ribosomal RNA (253 nucleotides) under uncultured prokaryote. RNAcentral describes it as "partial 16S ribosomal RNA". It matches the Rfam family "Bacterial small subunit ribosomal RNA", at positions 525 to 777 of the family's 1533-position model. The record is from RNAcentral.